UACGGAGGGGGCUAGCGUUGUUCGGAAUUACUGGGCGUAAAGCGCACGUAGGCGGCUUUGUAAGUUAGAGGUGAAAGCCCAGGGCUCAACCCUGGAAUUGCCUUUAAGACUGCAUCGCUUGAACAUCGGAGAGGUAAGUGGAAUUCCGAGUGUAGAGGUGAAAUUCGUAGAUAUUCGGAAGAACACCAGUGGCGAAGGCGACUUACUGGACGGAAUUGUUGACGCUGAGGUGCGAAAGCGUGGGGGAGCAAACAGG
RNAcentral lists this ribosomal RNA (256 nucleotides) under uncultured bacterium. RNAcentral's name for it is "partial 16S ribosomal RNA". It matches the Rfam family "Bacterial small subunit ribosomal RNA", at positions 524 to 776 of the family's 1533-position model. The record is from RNAcentral.